Molecule: ribosomal RNA, 508 nt
Filed under: uncultured bacterium
Lineage: Bacteria
Description: bacterial SSU rRNA
Rfam family: Bacterial small subunit ribosomal RNA
Source: RNAcentral
CGGCAUGCCUAAGACAUGCAAGUCGAACGAGGUGGCCCAAAGAAGAUUGAGUGCUUGCACUAAGAUUGGACUUGGAUUACCACCUAGUGGCGGACGGGUGAGUAACACGUAGGUGACCUACCUUGAGUUGGGAUAACUAUUAGAAAUGAUAGCUAAUACCGAAUUAAAUGCAGAUUCGUUUCUGUAUUAAAAGGAGCCUUUAAAGCUUCGCUUAAAGAUGGGCCUGCGGCGUAUUAGCUAGUUGGUGAGGUAAUGGCUUACCAAGGCGACGAUGCGUAGCCGAACUGAGAGGUUGAUCGGCCACAUUGGGACUGAGACACGGCCCAAACUCCUACGGGAGACAGCAGUUAGGAAUAUUCGUCAAUGGGGGAAACCCUGAACGAGCAAUGCCGCGUGAACGAUGAAGGCCCUAUGGGUUGUAAAGUUCUGUUGCAUGGGACGAACGAUUAGGAUAGGAAAUGAUCUUAAUGUGACGGUACCAUGCCAGAAAGCUCCGGCUAACUACGUG